GCUCUGGGGCACAGGUGUGUCUGUUGUCUGGACAGCUCUCCAAAUCCAGGGAUAGCAGCUCCUGGGUAGCUGCCACUCUCUCUCCGUGUGAUGAAUCCUUGAGCCAUGAGUGUAACCAAUUCCUGAUUCUCCUUCGUGCUGUGGGUAAGGAGCAUGAUGAAGCAGGCAUCAGCUAAAGAAGAUUACCAAAGACACCCUUAAAAUCCUGAACAAGAAAAGCACUACAGAAAUGGGUGUUGAAGAUGAAGGACAGAAGCCCAGGAAGACCAAACCAGAGGCAUUUCUGACCCUGGAGACUGUUCACAAAGCUGCAGCAGUUGUCCUGUUUCGAUCAGCAUCAGAUCUCCAGCAGUGUCUGGAGCAGAGCACCAGCUUGGCCUCAGAAAUGCUGUGCCACCUGCCCCACCACAUCCAGCUCAUCUCUGACCUCAUGGAGCCAGCACUGAACAUCAGACUUUGCAGGACACGUGAGCAGAGUUAAUUCUGGGGAGUUGUGUCAGGACAAAGCUGCAGCAAGUUUUCUGUGAAGCCAGAAAAACCCCAAGAUCUGGGCUGCAAAUUCCCCAGAUUUGAUGCCAUGUGCUUGCAUGUGUUUUAGUUUCCCCUCCUCUGAAACAGAAUGCCAGGCACUUCCCCAUUCUCUUGUAUGGUGGUAGUUGUGGAGAAUCAAUACAGGCAUUUUAUUUUUAAAUCUUCCAAAAUUAAUAAAAUUCUAGAUUAUUUAAACGCAAAGGAUUUUAGGAUGGGUUUUGCUGUUUUGGACUGAGCCAUCAUAUUACUCAGUAACACAUCUGAUUGCCUGAAAUACCAUGGAUUUCUGAGGAGUAGCUCUGAGGGAUAGUUCUUUUAUUUUAACCAUUUAUUUAGCUCUUCUCCUCGUUCUCUAGUGAAUAAUGAAUUGCCUUUUUGUCUGCCACACAGUUUAUCCUUAAUGUUUUUUGAUUUAUUUUUUUUUGGCUCCUGUUUUAGGUGCUUAACUUGGGCAUUUCUUUCAGUCUGUCAUUUGUGUGUGUAUUCUCAGCUGCUGAACGAGCUGGGUGUGGUGGAGGCUGAGCUGCUGCUGGAGUUGUCCAGGCUGGCUGGGAGCCACAGGACGGGGCUGUGUGUCCGUGGCAGCACCACUCCUGCUGCUCCUCAGCUCCGAGCACACCGCACGGCUCCCCGAAGGGUUGGGGUCACCUUCGCCUCUCCAGAGAGCACUUUUGGUCUCCAGCUGAGCAGAAAAAGCCUUUAGGUUCAGGUAGCAGUGUUGCAGUGCUGGUGGGGGCUCAGGGCAGUGGGGAGGACGAGUCACCUCCACAGCCCGUGCCCACUGCCAGGGGCGGCUGACACCCACCCUCUGUAGCCCUGGCCAGGGAGGGGCUGUGUCCUGAUCGCCUGCCCCACUGUGCCCUGGGCUCCCUGUGCCACAGGUGACACCAGAUGUCACCAGCUGUCACCUGCUGAGGGUCUGUCCCAGCUGACAGAGGGGUUUGCAUGCUCUGUGACAGUGUGGGACACACGGCUCGGCCGCACUGGGACGAACCUGGCACGGUUCUGUUUGCAGGUUUUGUGCUGUUCGGGUGGUUGGUGAAGGAGUUGCUGUCACCCUGCUGACAGACCCAUGCAGGCUGCUGGGGUUUCCUUUUGCUUUGCAUCCCGUGGAAAUCGCCAGGGCUUUUUCAGCCUUCGCUUCACUGCUGCAGCCGCUCUGCCCGUGCCAGGGCAGCGUGCGGUGCCGGGCGGGGCAGAUCGCAGCCUCGGCUGGGCUGUGCGGUCCCGGGGGAUGUUCACUCUCCUGAGGAUGUUCUGUGCCCGGGGGAUGUUCAGUCUCCUGAGGAUGUUCUGUGCCCGGGGGAUGUUCAGUCUCCUGAGGAUGUUCUGUGCCCGGGGGAUGCUCGGUCCCAGGGAUGCUCGGUCCCAGGGAUGCUCGGUCCCGGGGGAUGCUCGGUCCCAGGGAUGCUCGGUCCCAGGGAUGCUCGGUCCCAGGGAUGCUCGGUCCCGGGGAUGCUCGGUCCCGGGGCUAGGCGGGUCUGUGCUCCCGGGAGCAGGGGCUGAGCCCGCUCCCCUCUGGGGCAGUUCGGGGGCUGCUCUGCCCGCAGAGAUCCCGUCUCGGUUCGGCCGUGCAGCAUCGGAUCCCGCUCGGCUGGGGCUGCGUGCUGGCCUCCGGGGCUCCUGGCUGCGGCACAGGCAGUGCUGCAUGGAAAUCCUGCAGAACCUCAGCUGCAGCGCUCUGCGAGGAUUUCUUUUGAUGCGGGGAGAGGCACAAGCAUGUUUGAGUUUGUGAAGUUUUAUCCUUGAAUGUUCAGUUCCUUGAUUUUUAAGUUAAAAAAGAAUUCGGUUCCCAUAUGCCGUAUUUUUGGCUUUUACUUUGUAAAAGAGGAGUGGAAACCUUUCAGAGGCACAUCCACAUCUUGUGAUGCUCACAAACUGCCCCAGUUGCUGUUUUCCUUCCUGGUUUGUGUCCCUAGUUGGGGGCUGCAUAGUUUAGAUUUGUGGUUUCCUUUCACAGGGAGCAGGAAAGUAUUUUGCAGUAAUAAUAUUUUAAUAGAUUUACAGACACCUGGCAGCAGUAGCAUUUAAUCAGAAACACUGGGAAAAAGGAGUGGGAAAUAUAGAAGAACUACACAAAUGUCUGAGCUCUAUGUUAAUUUCUUCUGCUUAGAAGCUAAAGUUUGGUAACAUAAUAAAAAUAACAAGUUUUGUUAACGUUACUCUACAAUAACAAAAGAG
Molecule: long non-coding RNA, 2712 nt
Organism: Cyanistes caeruleus (blue tit)
Lineage: Eukaryota; Metazoa; Chordata; Aves; Passeriformes; Paridae
Source: RefSeq, a predicted model, not a curated record